GUGAAAUGACUUGAGAGG
RNAcentral lists this small nuclear RNA (18 nucleotides) under Arabidopsis thaliana (thale cress). Its description in RNAcentral is "snRNA_01481". The record is from RNAcentral. Lineage: Eukaryota; Viridiplantae; Streptophyta; Magnoliopsida; Brassicales; Brassicaceae.